ACUUGUUCUUUAAAUGAGGACUAGUAUGAAAGGCACCACGAGGGUUACACUGUCUCCUCUUUCUAAUCAGUGAAACUAAUCUCCCCGUGAAGAAGCGAGGAUUUACCUAUAAGACGAGAAGACCCUAUGGAGCUUUAAAUAAUAAUAACAAUUGCUACUACACCUCUUAUUUCAGAAAUUUAUUAAUAACUUAGCAUCAUGAUUAUUAAUUUUAGGUUGGGGUGACCACGGAGCACAAAACAACCUCCAUGUUGAAACAGAGCAUAAACUCUAAGCAAAAAGCUACAACUUUACACAUCAACAAACUGACAUAAAUUGACCCAAUAUUAUUGACCAACGAACCAAGUUACCCUAGGGAUAACAGCGCAAUCCACUUCGAGAGCUCAUAUCGACAAGUGGGUUUACG
Molecule: ribosomal RNA, 406 nt
Filed under: Cycloramphus eleutherodactylus
Lineage: Eukaryota; Metazoa; Chordata; Amphibia; Anura; Cycloramphidae
Description: partial 16S ribosomal RNA
Rfam family: Bacterial large subunit ribosomal RNA
Source: RNAcentral